AGACUCCUACGGGAGGCAGCAGUGGGGAAUUUUGGACAAUGGGGGCAACCCUGAUCCAGCCAUGCCGCGUGAGUGAAGAAGGCCUUCGGGUUGUAAAGCUCUUUCGGCCGGAACGAAAUCGCGUACGUGAAUAACGUGCGUGGAUGACGGUACUGGAAGAAGAAGCACCGGCUAACUACGUGCCAGCAGCCGCGGUAAUACGUAGGGUGCGAGCGUUAAUCGGAAUUACUGGGCGUAAAGCGUGCGCAGGCGGUUCUGCAAGUCAGAUGUGAAAUCCCCGGGCUUAACCUGGGAACUGCGUUUGAAACUACGGAGCUAGAGUGCGGCAGAGGGGGGUGGAAUUCCACGUGUAGCAGUGAAAUGCGUAGAUAUGUGGAGGAACACCGAUGGCGAAGGCAGCCCCCUGGGCCGACACUGACGCUCAGGCACGAAAGCGUGGGGAGCAAACAGGAUUAGAUACCCUGGUAGUCCACGCCCUAAACUAUGUCAACUAGUUGUCGGGGAAGCAAUUCUUUGGUAACGAAGCUAACGCGUGAAGUUGACCGCCUGGGGAGUACGGUCGCAAGAUUAAAACU
RNAcentral lists this ribosomal RNA (575 nucleotides) under uncultured bacterium. RNAcentral's name for it is "bacterial SSU rRNA". It matches the Rfam family "Bacterial small subunit ribosomal RNA", at positions 333 to 901 of the family's 1533-position model. The record is from RNAcentral.